UUUUCUAGUGCUCAGAGUACGUAUAGAGCCGAGCGGUCGGAAGUUCGAGCCGAGCGAAGCGAGACAACGUUGCUUUAGCAACGGCCCGUAGGGCGAGGCGUUAGCCGAGUCAUCUUCCUGGGUGCACCA
Molecule: small RNA, 129 nt
Filed under: Yersinia frederiksenii
Lineage: Bacteria; Pseudomonadati; Pseudomonadota; Gammaproteobacteria; Enterobacterales; Yersiniaceae
Description: RtT sRNA
Rfam family: RtT RNA
About the family: This family represents a bacterial cis-regulatory element known as RtT RNA. The exact function of RtT is unknown although it is thought that it may be involved in changing the cellular response in relation to amino acid starvation.
Source: RNAcentral